RNAcentral lists this ribosomal RNA (1962 nucleotides) under Triticum aestivum (bread wheat). RNAcentral's name for it is "partial small subunit ribosomal RNA". Lineage: Eukaryota; Viridiplantae; Streptophyta; Magnoliopsida; Poales; Poaceae. The record is from RNAcentral.
AUGGGCCGGUCGGAGAGGACCGUUGUGUGGUUCAGGAGGGACCUCAGGAUCGACGACAACCCGGCUUUGGCCGCCGCUGCCAGGGACGGCGCGGUGCUCCCUGUCUUCAUAUGGUGCCCGGCCGAGGAGGGGCGCUUCUACCCCGGCCGCUGCUCCCGGUGGUGGCUCAAGGAGUCGCUUGCGCACCUUGCCAGGUCGCUGGAGGCGCUCGGCUGCCCGCUCGUGCUGAUCCGAGCUCAGAGCACUCUUGCCGCGCUUCUGCAGUGCGUUGAUUCCAUCGGCGCCACCAGAGUGGUCUAUAAUCAUCUAUACGACCCUAUUUCACUUGUGCGGGAUGACAAAAUCAAGAAUGAGCUUUUGGGCCUUGGAAUUUCUAUGCAGAGUUUCAAUGGUGAUCUGCUAUAUGAGCCAUGGGAAGUUUAUGAUGAGAAUGGGCUUGCAUUUACAACGUUCAAUAAGUAUUGGGAAAAGUGCAUGAAAUUGCCUAUCGAGAUAUCACCAUUUCUUGCCCCUUGGAGGUUGGUGCCUGUCUCAGGUAUAGAAAACAUUUGCAGUAGUUCAAUUGAUAACCUAGGUCUUGAAUCAAGUAAGGAUGAGGAAUCAAGCAAUGCUUUGCUAAGCAGGGCUUGGUCUCCUGGCUGGCGCAAUGCGGAGAAGACACUUGAGGAUUUCGUGUCUCAUGGUCUCCUAGAUUAUUCAAAAGACAGAAUGAAGGUUACCGGAACUACAACAUCGUUAUUGUCACCAUAUCUUCAUUAUGGUGAGGUGAGUGUAAGGAAAAUCUAUCAACUUGUCAGGAUGCAACAGAUCAAGUGGGAAAAUGAGGGGAAAUCCGGAGCUGGGGAGAGUGUUAACUUGUUCCUGCUGUCAAUUGGUCUCCGAGAAUAUUCACGUUAUUUGUGUUUCAACUUUCCAUUCACACAUGAAAGGUCGCUGCUGGGGAACUUGAAACACUACCCCUGGCGAGCAGACGAGGACCGGUUCAAGUCCUGGAGACAGGGAAUGACAGGAUACCCGUUAGUAGAUGCUGGCAUGAGGGAGCUAUGGGCUACUGGCUGGACACAUAAUCGUAUAAGAGUAAUAGUUUCAAGUUUUGCUGUGAAAUUUCUACUAAUUCCGUGGACUUGGGGGAUGAAGUACUUUUGGGAUGUGCUGUUGGAUGCUGAUAUAGAAAGUGAUAUUCUUGGCUGGCAGUACAUAUCUGGGUGUUUGCCUGAUGGACACGAGCUUGGUCGUCUUGAUAAUCCAGAGGUUCAAGGUCAAAAGUAUGACCCAGAUGGUGAAUACGUAAGAACUUGGAUUCCAGAGCUAGCUAGAAUGCCAGGGGAAUGGAUCCAUCAUCCGUGGGAUGCACCGAGCUCUAUACUAGAAGUUGCUGGUGUUGAGCUAGGCUUUAACUAUCCUAUGCCCAUAGUAGAACUUCACAUGGCUCGGGAGUGCUUAGAUGAUGCCAUCUCCACGAUGUGGCAAUUGGAUACAGCCGAAAAACUUGCAGAAUUAGAUGGUGAGGUUGUUGAAGACAACUUGAGCCAUAUCAAGAGUUUUGAUGUCCCAAAAGUUGUUUUGAAGGAACUAUCUCCAAGUGCUCCUCGCUGUGAUCAAAAAGUGCCCACUGAUAAUGGCAGGAAUCUUGAGUUACAGCCUAAGGAACUGAAGGGCACAGAUAAACAGACCAUUUGUGUUAAUGUGAUCAAGGCCUCAAAGAUGGAAGACUCAGGCUCCAUGGCAAACUCUCCGAUAUCAAGGAAAAGAUCCAGCAGCGGGAGUGUGUUUAAUGUCCCAUCUUAUUCAUCUUCAGUCGAAGUGCGCUCACAGAAUCAGCAUCCUGGUGGUUAUUCAGUUGGGUCGUCAGGAUAUAUCGUGCAGAACGCAGAGAGGAACUGUGUUGGCAAGGCAGAAGAUGAUGACAGUGCCGAUAGCUGUACAAACACCUCAAGAGCAUCCAAGAGACCUGCCGCCUGA